This 625-nucleotide ribosomal RNA is filed under the name Ilyonectria destructans. RNAcentral describes it as "SSU rRNA". It matches the Rfam family "Bacterial small subunit ribosomal RNA", at positions 374 to 938 of the family's 1533-position model. Lineage: Eukaryota; Fungi; Ascomycota; Sordariomycetes; Hypocreales; Nectriaceae. The record is from RNAcentral.
GCCUAACGGCUGAACUGGCAACUUGGAGAAGUGGCAAGUUUUAUAAUUAAUAGUAAUUAAUAUUUCUAUUUUUAUAAAAUUCUAUUAGAAUUGAAUGAAGCUUUGUUUAUAUAUUGAUAAUGACAGUAUAUAUAUCGUGUCUUGACUAAUUGCGUGCCAGCAGUCGCGGUAAUACGUAAGAGACUAGUGUUAUUCAUCUUAAUUAGGUUUAAAGGGUACCCAGACGGUCAAUAUAUCUUCUAUAAUGUUAGUACUUGACUAGAGUUUUAUGUAAGAGGGCAGUACUUGAGGAGGAGAGAUGAAAUUUCGUGAUACCAAAGGGACUCUGUAAAGGCGAAGGCAGCCCUCUAUGUAGAAACUGACGUUGAAGGACGAAGGCACAGAGAACAAACAGGAUUAGAUACCCAAGUAGUCUUUGCAGUAAAUGAUGAAUGCCAUAGGUCAGAUCUAAAUUUAAUGUUUAUAGAUUAUGCGCGAAGCGGGCCUGAAUUGGCAACUUUACAAAAAUUAUAAAUAUUAAAAAUUAUUUGGUCUAUAAAUGAAAGUGUAAGCAUUUCACCUCAAGAGUAAUGUGGCAACGCAGGAACUGAAAUCACUAGACCGUUUCUGACACCAGUAGUGAAGU